UGGGGAAUAUUGCACAAUGGACGGAAGUCUGAUGCAGCAACGCCGCGUGCGGGAUGACGGCCUUCGGGUUGUAAACCGCUUUUUCUCAUGACGAAGUUUUUUGACGGUAGUGGGGGAAGAAGCACCGGCUACCUACGUGCCAGCAGCCGCGGUGAUACGGAGGGUGCGAGCGUUGUCCGGAAUUAUUGGGCGUAAAGAGCUUGUAGGCGGUUUGUCGCGUCGAUAGUGCAAACUCAGUGCUUAACGCUGAGCCUGCUGUUGAUACGGGCAGGCUAGAGGAAGGUAGGGGAGAAUGGAAUUCCCGGUGGAGCGGUGGAAUGCGCAGAUAUCGGGGGGAACACCGGUGGCGAAGGCGGUUCUCUGGGCCUUUCCUGACGCUGCGAAGCGAAAGCGUGGGGAGCGAACAGG
Molecule: ribosomal RNA, 408 nt
Filed under: Fusobacteriota bacterium
Lineage: Bacteria; Fusobacteriati; Fusobacteriota
Description: Fusobacteria bacterium partial 16S ribosomal RNA
Rfam family: Bacterial small subunit ribosomal RNA
Source: RNAcentral